This 485-nucleotide ribosomal RNA is filed under the name uncultured bacterium. Its description in RNAcentral is "bacterial SSU rRNA". It matches the Rfam family "Bacterial small subunit ribosomal RNA", at positions 30 to 507 of the family's 1533-position model. The record is from RNAcentral.
AUUGAACGCUGGCGGCAGGCCUAACACAUGCAAGUCGAGCGGAUGAGUGGAGCUUGCUCCAUGAUUCAGCGGCGGACGGGUGAGUAAUGCCUAGGAAUCUGCCUGGGUAGUGGGGGACAACGUUUCGAAAGGAACGCUAAUACCGCAUACGUCCUACGGGAGAAAGCAGGGGACCUUCGGGCCUUGCGCUAUCAGAUGAGCCUAGGUCGGAUUAGCUAGUUGGUGAGGUAAUGGCUCACCAAGGCGACGAUCCGUAACUGGUCUGAGAGGAUGAUCAGUCACACUGGAACUGAGACACGGUCCAGACUCCUACGGGAGGCAGCAGUGGGGAAUAUUGGACAAUGGGCGAAAGCCUGAUCCAGCCAUGCCGCGUGUGUGAAGAAGGUCUUCGGAUUGUAAAGCACUUUAAGUUGGGAGGAAGGGUUGUAGAUUAAUACUCUGCAAUUUUGACGUUACCGACAGAAUAAGCACCGGCUAACUCUGUG